UUCAACGGAUUGGCUAAGGCCAGUCGACCUCACAGAGGGCAAUCUGCUUCAAUCCAAGGGCAACCAUUUAAAGGUUAAUUUCAUCCCCCAAAAACACCUUCACAGACACAUCCAGAACCAUGUUUGACCAAAAACCCGGGCUCUGUGGCCCAGCCAAGUUGACACAUCAAAUUAACCUUCACAGAAGAGAAAGGAAAAGAAAGAAAGGGAAGAAAAAGGAAAAGAAGAAAAAAAAGCAACGUGAUAUCCUGUGAAAGGCCAGGACCUGGUAGCAGCUCACCAAAAUGAUGCUCAUUUUAUUAUUUUUAUUAUCAUUAAAUCAUUUUUAUCUGUUCAUCCAUCUUUUGUUUACAGAGGGAGAAACGGAGACGGGGACAUGCUACACGCAGUUCUGUGUCCUGUUGAGGGCAUUCAGUCACUGGAUAUGUGUGGCCAUUUAUCAGACUGGGGAAAAUUCUGAGAUGGGCAGAGUACCCUGGUUUUGUACGUAACCGACUGAAUUCCCCCAUUCAGCAAGACCAAUCAGAAUGAUCAAUUGAGAGUACAAUUGAAUUCCUUUGGAACUAACAGAAACAAAAGCUGACCUAGUUUAUAUUGUCGAGUGGGGCUCCAGAGAUUCAAUCUCCGCUUAUGAGGAGCUAAGAUGGCCAACGGGCUUUGUUUCACGGGGACGUCAUCAAUUCAUUUGCUGAUUUAACAGGAUAUGAUAAACAUGUUGUAUCCUAUAUGCCUAGCACAGCACGGGGCUUUGAAGGGACCCGGAGAAGUAGGACACACAACGUGUAUUGAAUCCUUACGUCCCUGCCAUCCUAUUUAUGUGUAUGACCUAAUUUUGCCCUCGUUUCAUUUUAAGCUGUGUAAACCUUAGGGAGGCACCAGCCUUCCUGGUUUGUCUUUGUUCUAAAUGUUGAAGAGUUUGUAAGAGGGGCAGGGUGCCGCGGUCCUGCCUCACGGUCGCAGCGGUGAGAAACUGAAACAUCGCAGAAGAGUCGAAUUGCUACCUUGGACGAGCGGUGUCGAGUGGGAGGUGCGGGCAGGUCAGAGGACCAGGCACCCGAUGGGGAGGAGGUGACUGGGGGCGGCAUCGUAAAGGCCCACAAAGACAGAUCAAUGGCGAUGAGCCCCUCUGGAGGGCCGGAGGGUCCGGAGGAAGCCCAAGUCCCACAGCUCAUCAGUAGCAAGGUCCGAUCAGAACGUCUGCAGACCCCGGUGUGAUGUGCUGCCCUGACCUCUGUCCUAGGACCCCCCUCCCCUAGAGCUCUGCCCUAGAGCUGAACAAUGAAGGCAGCGGGGCCGUACCGUGGCGUAAGAAUAAGCUUGGAGUCGGGAAAAGGAAACAAGACCACGGGGUCCCACCUCUGCGAUGCCUCGAGGGUGAGCUCUCAGGGGGAUGGUGACGGUUCCGUGAUCCUCUGGGGCUUCUGCACGAUGCAUCUGGAGAGAAGCGUGGCUGGAGCACGUGAUAGAAGAGGCCGUGGUAUCGCACAGAAACUUCCACCGUGGGGAGUCAAAAACGUCUACUGCAGACCCAAGGCUGCUUGCAGCAGGAGUUGGGACGGUCCAGGGCGCGUAAGGAGCUGGCAACGAGGUGCUUGGUGUCCUCAGGCCGCCCCGCCUUCAAGCCUGGGGAUUUACCGGGCACUUCUCUCAGUGGCAGCGUGAUUUGGGGCACUCAUGAGCCUGCCGGUGUCUCAGGGCUCUGGACCUUUAUCCUUCAGGUGACCAUAGCUUUCAGCCUGCCAGGCGGCCGGAAGGAAUCACUGCUGUGUAGAAAGUUCCCGGCACAAUGCCUGGCUUCGUGUGGCACCCAACGAAUGGACCCUUUGUCCCUUCCGGGGAGCACUCUGGAAUGGAGCGGCGAAAAGGAGCUGCGGGACGGAGAACGAUUCCCAGCCCACCUUUCUCGCCUGCUUACGUGUGUGGCUGCACCAGCUGCGUCCGAGAUUCUGCCACGUGCCGGCUGCACGAAGAUCUAGGAGACAGAGGCAGAGCGUGAGCGGAGGAGGGGCAGAAAGAGAGGGAGCCACAGAA
Long non-coding RNA from Felis catus (domestic cat), 2031 nucleotides. RefSeq lists it as uncharacterized. The record is from RefSeq and is a predicted model, not a curated record. The transcript has 3 exons. Lineage: Eukaryota; Metazoa; Chordata; Mammalia; Carnivora; Felidae.